UAUGGCCAUAUCACAUUAAAACAUUGGUUCCUUUACAAUCACCAAAGUUAAGCAAUGUCAAGCCUGGUCAGUACCUAGAUGGGUAACCACUUGAGAAUACCAGGUGCUGUAAG
Non-coding RNA from Acanthosepion pharaonis, 113 nucleotides. The record is from the annotation of a GenBank genome assembly. NCBI's taxonomy places the organism in Eukaryota, Metazoa, Mollusca, Cephalopoda, Sepiida, Sepiidae.